Molecule: non-coding RNA, 175 nt
Organism: Brachypodium distachyon (stiff brome)
Lineage: Eukaryota; Viridiplantae; Streptophyta; Magnoliopsida; Poales; Poaceae
Gene: MIR160A
Product: microRNA MIR160a
Exons: 1
Source: RefSeq, marked provisional
UGCGGAAGGAGGUGAAAAAAAAAAUGGGAUAUGCCUGGCUCCCUGUAUGCCACUCGCGUAGCUGCCAACAACUCAGUUUGAGCUCCCCCGGCCCAAACGCAAACGUUGGCUCUACCGCGGAUGGCGUGCGAGGAGCCAAGCAUGACCGUCUCUCCCCCUCCCUCCCUCUCUCCCU